GAAAAUAAGAACACAAGAGAGAAAAGUUUGAGUGAAUGCUCUCAAGGAUUCUUCUUACUCAAAACUCAAGUGAUUUACAAUGAGGGAAGAGGUCUCUUAUUUAUAGUUGAGCCUCCCCAAAUCCAACGGUGCAAAAUUAAGUACAUCAACGGCUAUGAUUAAAGGGCACCUACCACCAAACCUUUAAGAAUAUAAAAUCAUAUCUUCUAAGAUUACAUAUCUUAUCUAAGAUAUGUAAUCUUAUAAAAUAAUAUAUUAUAUUUGUCUAACUUGUAGAUGGGCCUUCAAUCUCUUCAAGCAACGGGCCGGUCUGAUUGGGCCAAAUGACCUCCUUCCUUCUUGAUGGUUCACACAGAUGUGUCAUGGUUGCGGGCUCCCAUGCGCAACCCAUGACAUUCUCCCCCACCAAAUCUAGCGACGCCCUCGUCGCGUCCUCUGCAUGGUAUCGAUCUAUCUUGUCUUGGAAUUGCCACAAGGCUUCAGCAAGUUCCCAACUCAUCUCACUAUCCGGGAAUCCCUUCCAUCGGACUAAGUAUUCGCGCCGCGGUCGGUAGUGCUUACGUCUGACCAUACGAUCCGCUUCGAUGUUCUCGACCUCUCGAUCAUAGGCGACUUUUACCCCCAUUGGUGCUCGUUCAGACUUGCUUCGAUUUGGGUCUUCUCCAUCUUUAUGGAAUGGUUUAAGCAUACUCACGUGGAAUACUGGAUGAACUUUAAGCUUUUCAGGCAACUCGAGCUUGUAGGCCACCUUGCCUACCUUCUUCACAAUUCGAAAUGGCCCCUCGUACCGCCGAACGAGUCCUUUGUGUAACCCAUCAUGUCGCAAAAUCAGGUGUAGUUUGGCAAGAACUGGUUCACCUACCUGAAAUUGUACGUCCCUUCGAUUUCGAUCUGCCCAUUUCUUAUUGCGCUUACUUGCCUUAUGUAGACAAGCUCUAGCUAGAUCGUUUUGCUCUUGCCAAUCCCUCGCAAAUCGAUAAGCUGCUGGAUUCGGUCCCGCAUAACGAGUUGCAACUGCAUUGGGUGUAAGCGGUUGUUGCCCCGUUACUAUCUCAAAUGGACUCUGGUUCGUUGCCCCACUUCGUUGUAAGUUGUACGAAAACUGGGCAACAUCCAAAAACUUUGGCCAAUCCUUUUGUGUUGCACUUACAUAGUGUCGAAGAUACGUCUCCAACAAUGCAUUCACUCGUUCAGUUUGCCCAUCAGUUUGAGGAUGCAUGCUAGUGGAAAAGUUUAAGUCUGAGCCCAUUAACUUGAACAACUCUGUCCAAAACCGACCCGUGAAUCGCCCAUCUCGAUCACUGAUGAUAGACUGUGGUACUCCCCAAUACUUCACCACAUGUUUAAGGAAUAAGCGAGCUGCCUCAUCAGCAGGACAUUCUUUGGUUGCGGGGACGAAAGUUGCAUACUUCGAAAACCUGUCCACCACAACAAAAAUACUCGCAAAUCCAUCAGAUUUAGGCAAGCCUGUGAUAAAGUCCAUGGACAAGCUCUCCCAUGGGCGCUCCGGAAUGGGCAAUGGUUGUAACAAACCAGCAGGGGCUUUCAACUCAACCUUAUCUUGUUGGCAUAUUCAACAAGUUUUCACAUAGGCCUCCACAUCAUCCCCCAUGUGAGGCCAAUAAAAUCGAUCCUCCAAUAGAGCCAAGGUGCGGUGUAUUCCUGGAUGGCCAGCCCAUUUUGAAUCAUGGCAUUCCUUCAUGACUUCCCUUCGUAAAUUCUUAUGUUGAGGCACAUAUAGACGUUGCCCAUGAGUGUAUAGCAAUUCUCCCUCGAGCCAAAAUCGCCUCGUCUUUCCAUCUCUAGCAAGCUCUAUUAGAUUUUUAGCCGUGGGAUCAAGGGACAGUCCUUCUUGGAUGCGCUCUAAUAAGGGACUCUCAGGUUGGCUUAUCGUUGCGAAUUCCAUUUUUCGGCUAAGUGCAUCGGCCACAAUGUUGGCACUCCCCAGCUUGUAUUCCAUGCUAAAAUCAAACUCUGCUAGGAAAACCUGCCAACGAGCCUGCUUGGGGGACAACUUUUUCUGGGUUAAGAAAUAGCUAUUUGCAACAUUAUCAGUGAAUACCACAAACAUGGAACCCAGCAAGUAGUGUCUCCAUGUGCGCAAACAAUGCACCACUGCCGUCAUCUCUUUUUCUUGGACCGUGUAUCUCCGUUCCGUCUCGUUAAGCUUUCGACUCUCGAAAGCAAUCGGAUGCCCAUCUUGCAUCAACACCCCUCCAAUCGCAUACUCUGAAGCAUCUGUGUGUACCUCAUACGCUUUUGAAAAAUUGGGCAAUGCAAGUACAGGCUCACUCGUUAUUGCUUGCUUCACUUGGUUGAAGGCUUUCUCACACCGAAGGUCCCAAUCCCACACUUUGCCCUUUUUCAACAGGUCCGUCAAGGGUGCAGUGAUCUUAGAAUAGCCCUCAAUGAAGCGACGGUAGUAAUUUGCUAAUCCAAGGAAAGACCGCAACUCCGUCACCUUGGUUGGUGACUCCCAAUCGGCAAUUGCUUGAAUUUUUCUUUCAUCCAUUCGAAUCAUGCCCCCUCCCACAAUAUGGCCUAGAAAUGGCACUUCUCGUUGGGCAAAGGAGCAUUUCUCCUUUUUGACAUGUAGCUUAUUUUCUCGUAGAGUUUGAAACACCUCCCCCAAGUGUCCCACAUGCUCUUCGAGCGUCUUACUAUAUACCACAAUAUCGUCAAGAUAAACAACCACAAAACGAUCCAAGAAAGGUUGUAAUACCUUAUUCAUUAGGGUACAAAAUGUGGCCGAAGCAUUUGUCAACCCGAAUGGCAUUACCAAGAACUCAAAGGACCCAUACCUAGUUACACAGACUGUCUUGGGUUCAUCCCCUUCGGCUAUUCUCACUUGGUGGUACCCCGAUCGCAAAUCCAACUUAGUAAACCAUCUCGCGCUACCAAGUUGAUCGAACAAAUCUGCAAUAAGAGGAAUGGGGUACCUAUUUUUUAUAGUGAUUUUGUUUAAGGCCCUGUAGUCGAUGCACAUUCUCAAAGAUCCAUCAUGCUUCUUUUGAAAUAACACCGGUGCGCCGAACGGGGCUUUAGAUGGUCUAAUGAACCCGGCAUCUAAAAGCUCUAUCAACUGCUUCCGCAAUUCUUCUAGUUCCGGUGGAGCCAUCCGAUAUGGUGCCCUUGCUGGUGGUUCAGCAUUAGGCAACAGCUCAAUCUUGUGGUCCACCUCCCUCUUAGGUGGCAAUCUUUUGGGCAACUUUACCGGCAUUACAUCUUGAAAUGACUUUAGCAACCGUUCCACUUCCUUUGGAAAUUCCACCUCGAAUUUAUCAUCCACAUUGUCUCUCAAGGUAGCUAGGUAGGAGACUUCAUUUCGACGAACUCCUUUGGCAAAUUGAAUUGCCGACAAGGUUUUCCCCCCCAUGCUUCCUUUCCUUUUCAUUCUCACCAUAUAUCAUUGAUUUGCAUCGGAGAUGGUCAUGUAGUUCUCGGAAGGGUGAAUAUCCGCAUUAAGCCUGUCAAGUAAACUUAAUCCAACUACAAAAUCGUAAUCAUCAAGUGGGAUUACCUUAAUGGUCGCUUUGCCCGUCCACUCACCAAGUUUGAGUUCCACCCCUUUUGCCACACCCGUUAUGGGAAUGCUUUCUGAAUUCACCGUUUUGAUUCGUCCCGAAUCUUCCUCGAUUCUAAGGCCAAGUUCCUUUGCCAUUUCUUUAGACAUAAAUAAAUCAGAUGCACCAGUAUCAACAAGUGCAUUCAAUCUUCUGCCAGCUACGAUGAUGUCCACAAACAUCAACCCAUUGCUUGACUUCUCUUCAACACCUCCUAAUAUCGAAUUGAGGCUUUUGGUGUCAUCUUCGGCUUCUUCGCGUGCCUCCAUGGCAUGAAAAGCGGCUUUCUUUGGACAGACACUCAUUCUAUGUGGGCCUUGGCAAAGAAAGCACUUCAUUGGUCCUUUUCUAUCCUAAGGCUUACCUUGACUAGACUUUGGGCCUUCGUCGUUCUUUUCUCUUUGAUCCUUGUUUCCCCCACCAUUAUCUUUGGGUCUCGACUUGGGUUUGUAAGAAUCUUUAUUAUCAAACGUUCUUCCCCCAACAUCAUAGAAAUUUUCUGCCUUGGCCAUAGCUUCGGUCAGUUCGGUGAUAUCUAGGCGACGCAACUCUUGCUUGGCCCACAUUUUUAAACCAUCCUCGAACCAAUAGAAUGCUUCUUUCUCAUUCAAGUCUGAGAUCUGAAGCAUCAACUUGCUGAAUUCCCGAACAUAAUCUCGAACAGUGCCUUGUUGCGUAAGCCGACGCAACUUAGCACGAGCCUCCUUUUCGGCAUGUUGUGGAUAAAACUGCUUCUUCAACUCUCUUUGGAACUCCUCCCAAGUUCCAAUGGUCGUUCCUCCACGUUUCUCAUCCGUGGACCUACGUCUCCACCACAAGAGAGCAACAUCAGAAAAGUAAAUUGAAGCGGUGUUUACCUUGGUGGCAUCAUCCUCAAUGCCAAUUGCUCGAAAAUACUGCUCCAAUUCCCACAGGAAGUUGUCUACUUCUCUUGCGGACCUAAUCCCCUUGAACUUCUUGGGUUUUGGAACAUCCACAUGACGUUGCUUCGGUCCCGAAGCCAACAUCCCACUUCCCAAGGCAGCCUUACAGAUUCUGAGCUCCCCCUUAAGCUCAGCAAUCUCUUCCUUCAUGGCAGUCAGCAGGGCCUCAAGAGCUUCGUCCCUCCCUGUUAGUUUGUCCGAAGUGGAUCUGAUGGAGUCCAACACAAACUCCUUGCUAUCUUCCCUCAGUUCAUCCAUACGGGUUAGGACCACUUCGAGUGUCUCCUUCAUGUCACCAGCGGACUCCUCGAGAUUAACCACUCGAAUUUCCAAGCUCGACAGCAUAUCCCUCGAUCGACUAGCCUUUCUAGCCCUCCCACGGGUCUCCAUUGGCUCAUUCUGAUCAACUUCUUUCGACAUAUCUCAAAAGUGCUUUCGAACGGCUCUGAUACCAACUGUCACGGACUUAAGAUUCUUUCCUCAGAAUCCAUGCGGCCUUAGGCAGUUUCUUACUCCAAAACGCCUAAGUCAGCCUAACUUCCACAAAAGAAGGAUUCAACAGAAUUCCUCCCUAAAACACAACUCAAGCGAAAGCAACUCAAAGCCAACAAGAUGAAAAAAAAAUGAGACAAGAAUAAGCCAGGGAAAAUAAGAACACAAGAGAGAAAAGUUUGAGUGAAUGCUCUCAAGGAUUCUUCUUACUCAAAACUCAAGUGAUUUACAAUGAGGGAAGAGGUCUCUUAUUUAUAGUUGAGCCUCCCCAAAUCCAACGGUGCAAAAUUAAGUACAUCAACGGCUAUGAUUAAAGGGCACCUACCACCAAACCUUUAAGAAUAUAAAAUCAUAUCUUCUAAGAUUACAUAUCUUAUCUAAGAUAUGUAAUCUUAUAAAAUAAUAUAUUAUAUUUGUCUAACCUGUAGAUGGGCCUUCAAUCUCUUCAAGCAACGGGCCGGUCUGAUUGGGCCAAAUGACCUCCUUCCUUCUUGAUGGUUCACACAGAUGUGUCAUGGUUGCGGGCUCCCAUGCGCAACCCAUGACACU
Molecule: long non-coding RNA, 5527 nt
Filed under: Gossypium barbadense (sea-island cotton)
Lineage: Eukaryota; Viridiplantae; Streptophyta; Magnoliopsida; Malvales; Malvaceae
Description: long non-coding RNA (GBAR_LNC012330)
Source: RNAcentral